GACGAACGCGGCGGCGUGCCUAAUACAUGCAAGUAGAACGCUGAAGAGAGGAGCUUGCUCUUCUUGGAUGAGUUGCGAACGGGUGAGUAACGCGUAGGUAACCUGCCUGGUAGCGGGGGAUAACUAUUGGAAACGAUAGCUAAUACCGCAUAAUAGCAGUUAUUGCAUGAUAACUGUUUGAAAGGUGCAAAUGCAUCACUACCAGAUGGACCUGCGUUGUAUUAGCUAGUUGGUGGGGUAACGGCUCACCAAGGCGACGAUACAUAGCCGACCUGAGAGGGUGAUCGGCCACACUGGGACUGAGACACGGCCCAGACUCCUACGGGAGGCAGCAGUAGGGAAUCUUCGGCAAUGGACGGAAGUCUGACCGAGCAACGCCGCGUGAGUGAAGAAGGUUUUCGGAUCGUAAAGCUCUGUUGUAAGAGAAGAACGAGUGUGAGAGUGGAAAG
This 449-nucleotide ribosomal RNA is filed under the name Streptococcus mitis. Its description in RNAcentral is "bacterial SSU rRNA". It matches the Rfam family "Bacterial small subunit ribosomal RNA", at positions 28 to 464 of the family's 1533-position model. Lineage: Bacteria; Bacillati; Bacillota; Bacilli; Lactobacillales; Streptococcaceae. The record is from RNAcentral.